Molecule: ribosomal RNA, 244 nt
Filed under: uncultured bacterium
Lineage: Bacteria
Description: partial 16S ribosomal RNA
Rfam family: Bacterial small subunit ribosomal RNA
Source: RNAcentral
UGCAAGCGUUAUCCGGAUUCACUGGGUUUAAAGGGUGCGUAGGUGGGUUGAUAAGUCAGUGGUGAAAUCCCCGAGCUUAACUUGGGAACUGCCAUUGAUACUAUUGAUCUUGAAUACCGUGGAGGUCAGCGGAAUAUGUCAUGUAGCGGUGAAAUGCUUAGAUAUGACAUAGAACACCAAUUGCGAAGGCAGCUGGCUACGCGAAUAUUGACACUGAUGCACGAAAGCGUGGGGAUCAAACAGG